This 253-nucleotide ribosomal RNA is filed under the name uncultured bacterium. Its description in RNAcentral is "partial 16S ribosomal RNA". It matches the Rfam family "Bacterial small subunit ribosomal RNA", at positions 524 to 776 of the family's 1533-position model. The record is from RNAcentral.
UACGUAGGGGGCGAGCGUUGUCCGGAGUUACUGGGCGUAAAGGGCAUGCAGGCGGUCGGACGCGUUUCGGGUGACAGCGGGUGGCUUAACUACCCGAGUGGUCGAAAGACGGUUUGACUUGAGGACGCGAGAGGGACACGGAAUUCCGGGUGGAGUGGUGAAAUGCGUAGAGAUCCGGAGGAACACCGAAGGCGAAGGCAGUGUCCUGGCGCGUAACUGACGCUGAGGUGCGAAAGCUAGGGGAGCAAACAGG